Molecule: microRNA precursor, 206 nt
Filed under: Oryza nivara
Lineage: Eukaryota; Viridiplantae; Streptophyta; Magnoliopsida; Poales; Poaceae
Description: MIR812 microRNA precursor family
Rfam family: MIR812 microRNA precursor family
Source: Rfam by way of RNAcentral
AAAAAGACAAACCCUGGAUUUCCGUGCCAACAUUUGACCAUCCGUCUUAUAUGAAUUUUUUUUAUAAUUAGUAUUUUCAUUGUUGUUAGAUGAUAAAAUAUGAUUAAUACUUUAUGCGUGACUUAUCUUUUUAAUUUUUUUUCAUAAUUUUUUUAAAUAAGACAGACAGUCAAAUGUUGGACACUGGAACCAGGGUUUGUCUUUUU